CACGUAGGGCGCAAGCGUUGUCCGGAAUUAUUGGGCGUAAAGAGCUCGUAGGCGGUCUGUUGCGUCUGCUGUGAAAACUCGGGGCUUAACCCCGAGCCUGCAGUGGAUACGGGCAGACUAGAGGUAGGUAGGGGAGAAUGGAAUUCCCGGUGUAGCGGUGAAAUGCGCAGAUAUCGGGAGGAACACCGGUGGCGAAGGCGCCGCUCUGGGCCGACACUGACGCUGAGGAGCGAAAGCGUGGGUAGCAAACAGG
RNAcentral lists this ribosomal RNA (253 nucleotides) under uncultured bacterium. RNAcentral's name for it is "partial 16S ribosomal RNA". It matches the Rfam family "Bacterial small subunit ribosomal RNA", at positions 524 to 776 of the family's 1533-position model. The record is from RNAcentral.